Molecule: non-coding RNA, 45 nt
Filed under: Trichobilharzia regenti
Lineage: Eukaryota; Metazoa; Platyhelminthes; Trematoda; Strigeidida; Schistosomatidae
Source: RNAcentral
AUUCAGUUGACGAGUCCCAAAUGGGAUGAAAUACGCCUCCUGGAU